AUUCUGUAGCAAGGUUAACCGCAUAGGGGAGCCGGAGGGAAACCGAGUCUUAACCGGGCGUUAAGUUGCAGGGUAUAGACCCGAAACCCGGUGAUCUAGCCAUGGGCAGGUUGAAGGUUGGGUAACACUAACUGGAGGACCGAACCGACUAAUGUUGAAAAAUUAGCGGAUGACCUGUGGCUGGGGGUGAAAGGCCAAUCAAACCGGGAGAUAGCUGGUUCUCCCCGAAAGCUAUUUAGGUAGCGCCUCGUGAAUUCAUCUCCGGGGGUAGAGCACUGUUUCGGCUAGGGGGCCAUCCCGGCUUACCAACCCGAUGCAAACUGCGAAUACCGGAGAAUGUUAUCACGGGAGACACACGGCGGGUGCUAACGUCCGUCGUGAAGAGGGAAACAACCCAGACCGCCAGCUAAGGUCCCAAAGUCAUGGUUAAGUGGGAAACGAUGUGGGAAGGCCCAGACAGCCAGGAUGUUGGCUUAGAAGCAGCCAUCAUUUAAAGAAAGCGUAAUAGCUCACUGGUCGAGUCGGCCUGCGCGGAAGAUGUAACGGGGCUAAACCAU
Molecule: ribosomal RNA, 557 nt
Filed under: Salmonella enterica subsp. enterica
Lineage: Bacteria; Pseudomonadati; Pseudomonadota; Gammaproteobacteria; Enterobacterales; Enterobacteriaceae
Description: partial 23S ribosomal RNA
Rfam family: Bacterial large subunit ribosomal RNA
Source: RNAcentral